CGGAAGUAGCUCAGUUGGUAGAGCAUUAGCCUUCCAAGCUAAGGGUCGCGAGUUCGAACCUCGUCUUCC
RNAcentral lists this transfer RNA (69 nucleotides) under human gut metagenome. It matches the Rfam family "tRNA". From Rfam's summary of the family: Transfer RNA (tRNA) molecules are approximately 80 nucleotides in length. Their secondary structure includes four short double-helical elements and three loops (D, anti-codon, and T loops). Further hydrogen bonds mediate the characteristic L-shaped molecular structure. tRNAs have two regions of fundamental functional importance: the anti-codon, which is responsible for specific mRNA codon recognition, and the 3' end, to which the tRNAs corresponding amino acid is attached (by aminoacyl-tRNA synthetases). tRNAs cope with the degeneracy of the genetic code in two manners: having more than one tRNA (with a specific anti-codon) for a particular amino acid; and 'wobble' base-pairing, i.e. permitting non-standard base-pairing at the 3rd anti-codon position. The record is from RNAcentral. RNAcentral also lists the same sequence under 3 other names.